Molecule: ribosomal RNA, 110 nt
Filed under: Desmodesmus maximus
Lineage: Eukaryota; Viridiplantae; Chlorophyta; Chlorophyceae; Sphaeropleales; Scenedesmaceae
Description: partial 5.8S ribosomal RNA
Rfam family: 5.8S ribosomal RNA
About the family: 5.8S ribosomal RNA (5.8S rRNA) is a component of the large subunit of the eukaryotic ribosome.
Source: RNAcentral
AAUGCGAUACGUAGUGUGAAUUGCAGAAUUCCGUGAACCAUCGAAUCUUUGAACGCAUAUUGCGCUCGACUCCUCGGAGAAGAGCAUGUCUGCCUCAGCGUCGGUUUUCA